RNAcentral lists this ribosomal RNA (253 nucleotides) under uncultured bacterium. RNAcentral's name for it is "partial 16S ribosomal RNA". It matches the Rfam family "Bacterial small subunit ribosomal RNA", at positions 524 to 776 of the family's 1533-position model. The record is from RNAcentral.
UACGUAGGGUGCAAGCGUUGUCCGGAAUUAUUGGGCGUAAAGAGCUCGUAGGCGGUUUGUUGCGUCGGCUGUGAAAUCCCGAGGCUCAACCUCGGGUCUGCAGUCGAUACGAGCAAACUAGAGUGUUGCAGGGGGGACUGGAAUUCCUGGUGUAGCGGUGAAAUGCGCAGAUAUCAGGAGGAACACCGGUGGCGAAGGCGGGUCUCUGGGCCGUAACUGACGCUGAGGAGCGAAAGCAUGGGGAGCGAACAGG